This is a non-coding RNA of Tepidimonas fonticaldi, 73 nucleotides long. NCBI's taxonomy places the organism in Bacteria, Pseudomonadati, Pseudomonadota, Betaproteobacteria, Burkholderiales. The record is from Rfam.
GGGUCGUUAGCUCAGUCGGUAGAGCAGCGGACUUUUAAUCCGUUGGUCGCAGGUUCGAAUCCUGCACGACCCA